RNAcentral lists this transfer RNA (70 nucleotides) under Crypturellus tataupa. Its description in RNAcentral is "tRNA-Pro". It matches the Rfam family "tRNA". From Rfam's summary of the family: Transfer RNA (tRNA) molecules are approximately 80 nucleotides in length. Their secondary structure includes four short double-helical elements and three loops (D, anti-codon, and T loops). The record is from RNAcentral. Lineage: Eukaryota; Metazoa; Chordata; Aves; Tinamiformes; Tinamidae.
CCGAAGAUAGUUUAGUGGAGAAUAUCAGCUUUGGGAGCUGGAGGUAGAGGUUUGAGUCCUUUUUUUUUGA